This is a regulatory RNA element of Tateyamaria sp. ANG-S1, 100 nucleotides long. It matches the Rfam family "Pyrrolysine insertion sequence mttB". The record is from Rfam. NCBI's taxonomy places the organism in Bacteria, Pseudomonadati, Pseudomonadota, Alphaproteobacteria, Rhodobacterales, Roseobacteraceae.
GCCACGGACAGCAAGUUGCCCGACAUGCAGGCAGGCUGGGAACAGAUGUGUUCCAACGUCAUGGCAGGCCUGUCGGGGCUGAACAUGGUCUAUGAGGCCG